This 220-nucleotide long non-coding RNA is filed under the name Prunus dulcis (almond). Its description in RNAcentral is "sRNA ncRNA". Lineage: Eukaryota; Viridiplantae; Streptophyta; Magnoliopsida; Rosales; Rosaceae. The record is from RNAcentral.
UGCCUGUACCUAGUAAGUAUGCUGCUCGAUUUGUUUGGAUAUUAUUAGAAGAAUGAUAGAUAGACCAGUGUUUCACAAUUAUGGUGUAACCUUAGAUGAACAAUCGACCUCCAUCAAUCAAUCUUCUUGCAACUUCUUCUUAUCCCAUCAUGAUGGAGCAUACAUUUUCUUUUGCUUUGAGGAGCUUCAUAACACCCAUCCUGCUCUAGACCAUUCUUAG